RNAcentral lists this ribosomal RNA (462 nucleotides) under Escherichia coli. RNAcentral's name for it is "bacterial SSU rRNA". It matches the Rfam family "Bacterial small subunit ribosomal RNA", at positions 1 to 459 of the family's 1533-position model. The record is from RNAcentral. Lineage: Bacteria; Pseudomonadati; Pseudomonadota; Gammaproteobacteria; Enterobacterales; Enterobacteriaceae.
AAAUUGAAGAGUUUGAUCAUGGCUCAGAUUGAACGCUGGCGGCAGGCCUAACACAUGCAAGUCGAACGGUAACAGGAAGCAGCUUGCUGCUUCGCUGACGAGUGGCGGACGGGUGAGUAAUGUCUGGGAAACUGCCUGAUGGAGGGGGAUAACUACUGGAAACGGUAGCUAAUACCGCAUAACGUCGCAAGACCAAAGAGGGGGACCUUCGGGCCUCUUGCCAUCGGAUGUGCCCAGAUGGGAUUAGCUUGUUGGCGGGGUAACGGCUCACCAAGGCGACGAUCCCUAGCUGGUCUGAGAGGAUGACCAGCCACACUGGAACUGAGACACGGUCCAGACUCCUACGGGAGGCAGCAGUGGGGAAUAUUGCACAAUGGGCGCAAGCCUGAUGCAGCCAUGCCGCGUGUAUGAAGAAGGCCUUCGGGUUGUAAAGUACUUUCAGCGGGGAGGAAGGGAGUAAAG